This 193-nucleotide ribosomal RNA is filed under the name uncultured bacterium. RNAcentral describes it as "partial 16S ribosomal RNA". It matches the Rfam family "Bacterial small subunit ribosomal RNA", at positions 1308 to 1500 of the family's 1533-position model. The record is from RNAcentral.
CAACUCGCCUACAUGAAGUUGGAAUCGCUAGUAAUCGCGAAUCAGAAUGUCGCGGUGAAUACGUUCCCGGGUCUUGUACACACCGCCCGUCACACCACGAGAGUUUACAACACCCGAAGUCAGUGGCCUAACCGCAAGGAGGGAGCUGCCUAAGGUGGGGUAGAUGAUUGGGGUGAAGUCGUAACAAGGUAAC